AUGUCGGUGUUCUAAUGGUAAGAUGCAGGUCUCCAAAACCUUGCGAUGAGGGUUCGAAUCCUUCCCGAUAUGCCA
Molecule: transfer RNA, 75 nt
Filed under: Vibrio phage Seahorse
Lineage: Duplodnaviria; Heunggongvirae; Uroviricota; Caudoviricetes
Description: tRNA-Trp
Rfam family: tRNA
About the family: Transfer RNA (tRNA) molecules are approximately 80 nucleotides in length. Their secondary structure includes four short double-helical elements and three loops (D, anti-codon, and T loops). Further hydrogen bonds mediate the characteristic L-shaped molecular structure. tRNAs have two regions of fundamental functional importance: the anti-codon, which is responsible for specific mRNA codon recognition, and the 3' end, to which the tRNAs corresponding amino acid is attached (by aminoacyl-tRNA synthetases). tRNAs cope with the degeneracy of the genetic code in two manners: having more than one tRNA (with a specific anti-codon) for a particular amino acid; and 'wobble' base-pairing, i.e. permitting non-standard base-pairing at the 3rd anti-codon position.
Source: RNAcentral